AUACACUUAAUAUUACUUUACCUUUUAUUGAAUCUAAAAGAAUAUUUUACUUAAUUCUAGAAUUGCCAAUUGAUAUCUCUUUUUUUGAUAAUAACAUGCUUCAUAUAUAUUAAAGAGAUAUAGCAUUCCUAUAAUUACGCUUCACAUAAUGCACAUUGACAAAUUAUUUAACCUACAUAGAUAUCGAGCUUUGAGACAAGUCAGUGCAAUCAAUGACUAUCCAAAUCUAGAACAAUUUAAUGUCAUAAAAGAAGUCAUCCAUAAACCAAUAGAUGAUAUUGAACUAGGAUAUUCACCUAACACCUUUACAUAUCAAACUACAGAAGAAUUAGAAUAAGAAAAAUACAGAAGAAUUAGCAGGUAUACCUACUUUUACACCUUAUAAUCCAACAUUACUAUUGAAUUGUAACAAAACCACGCAACCCUGAAGAGAAAUCCUUAACCGUUAUUAACAAAAACCACAGUUUCAAUAGCCAUAAACACCAAUAUAGGUCAACCCCUCUAAUAAAAAAAAAAAAAGAAUAACAACUCAAAAAAGGCCAAAGGAUUCGUGAAAAACUA
Long non-coding RNA from Daktulosphaira vitifoliae (grape phylloxera), 561 nucleotides. RefSeq lists it as uncharacterized. The record is from RefSeq and is a predicted model, not a curated record. The transcript is spliced from 2 exons. Lineage: Eukaryota; Metazoa; Arthropoda; Insecta; Hemiptera; Phylloxeridae.